GUGAGCCGUAUGCAGGGCGAUCUGCACGUACGGUUCUUUUAGGGGGUAGCUUCGUGAGAUGU
Non-coding RNA from Trachymyrmex cornetzi, 62 nucleotides. NCBI's taxonomy places the organism in Eukaryota, Metazoa, Arthropoda, Insecta, Hymenoptera, Formicidae. The record is from Rfam.